AAGGAUAUUAUAGCUAAAGACACUAUGUUGCCAUAUGGAGGGUUAAUCACUCGAUUCCUACUUGCCCAUGACAUUUGUAUCCCACCCGAUGAAGAAACAAUUCAAAAUGAUCGGUAUAACAUCAUCAAUAGAAAUCUGCUGAAAAGACUUAGGUGCACAUUUAGCAACGGUAUAUGGGUUAGGCAACCUAGAAGGACUGAUCC
RNAcentral lists this long non-coding RNA (203 nucleotides) under Musa acuminata (dwarf banana). Its description in RNAcentral is "long non-coding RNA (MACU_LNC004674)". The record is from RNAcentral. Lineage: Eukaryota; Viridiplantae; Streptophyta; Magnoliopsida; Zingiberales; Musaceae.